UGUGCUAAGGUAGCAUAAUAAAUUGUCUUAUAAUUAAAGACUAGAAUAAAUGGGUUGACAAUCUUUUUACUUUUUUAAUUUGAAUCUUGAAAUUUAUUUUUAAGUCAAAAAGCUUAAUUUUUUUAGGUAGACGAUAAGACCCUGUAAAACUUUAUUUUUAAUAAAUAGUAAGAAAAAAAAAGAAAAAGAAUUUAGCUGGGGCGGCAAUUAAUAACACAUUAAUAAAGAUAACUUUUCAGAUUUGAAAGAGCUUAUACACAAAUAGAAUAAGUUACUUCAGGGAUAACAGCACAAUAUUUACAUUGAGACCAGAUCAGUGUAAAUGACAUGUGACCUCGAUGUUGAAUUGAGUGUUCUAAGCUAAGCAG
Molecule: ribosomal RNA, 368 nt
Filed under: Janira sp.
Lineage: Eukaryota; Metazoa; Arthropoda; Malacostraca; Isopoda; Janiridae
Description: 16S ribosomal RNA
Rfam family: Bacterial large subunit ribosomal RNA
Source: RNAcentral